Molecule: ribosomal RNA, 318 nt
Filed under: uncultured bacterium
Lineage: Bacteria
Description: bacterial SSU rRNA
Rfam family: Bacterial small subunit ribosomal RNA
Source: RNAcentral
AUUGAACGCUGGCGGCAUGCCUUACACAUGCAAGUCGAACGGCAGCACGGGGGCAACCCUGGUGGCGAGUGGCGAACGGGUGAGUAAUGCAUCGGAACGUGCCCCGUAGCGGGGGAUAACCAGUCGAAAGACUGGCUAAUACCGCAUACGCUCCACGGAGGAAAGCAGGGGAUCGCAAGACCUUGCACUAUGGGAGCGGCCGAUGCCCGAUUAGCUAGUUGGGAGGUAAAGGCUCACCAAGGCGACGAUCGGUAGCUGGUUUGAGAGAACGACCAGCCACACUGGGACUGAGACACGGCCCAGACUCCUACGGGAGGC